GAUGAACGCUGGCGGCGUGCCUAAUACAUGCAAGUCGAGCGAACAGACGAGGAGCUUGCUCCUCUGACGUUAGCGGCGGACGGGUGAGUAACACGUGGAUAACCUACCUAUAAGACUGGGAUAACUUCGGGAAACCGGAGCUAAUACCGGAUAAUAUAUUGAACCGCAUGGUUCAAUAGUGAAAGACGGUUUUGCUGUCACUUAUAGAUGGAUCCGCGCCGCAUUAGCUAGUUGGUAAGGUAACGGCUUACCAAGGCAACGAUGCGUAGCCGACCUGAGAGGGUGAUCGGCCACACUGGAACUGAGACACGGUCCAGACUCCUACGAGAGGCAGCAGUAGGGAAUCUUCCGCAAUGGGCGAAAGCCUGACGGAGCAACGCCGCGUGAGUGAUGAAGGUCUUCGGAUCGUAAAACUCUGUUAUUAGGGAAGAACAAAUGUGUAAGUAACUAUGCACGUCUUGACGGUACCUAAUCAGAAAGCCACGGCUAACUACGUG
RNAcentral lists this ribosomal RNA (497 nucleotides) under uncultured bacterium. RNAcentral's name for it is "partial 16S ribosomal RNA". It matches the Rfam family "Bacterial small subunit ribosomal RNA", at positions 28 to 507 of the family's 1533-position model. The record is from RNAcentral.